UCCGGAAUUAUUGGGCGUAAAGCGCGCGCAGGCGGUUUCUUAAGUCUGAUGUGAAAGCCCACGGCUCAACCGUGGAGGGUCAUUGGAAACUGGGGAACUUGAGUGCAGAAGAGAAAAGCGGAAUUCCACGUGUAGCGGUGAAAUGCGUAGAGAUGUGGAGGAACACCAGUGGCGAAGGCGGCUUUUUGGUCUGUAACUGACGCUGAGGCGCGAAAGCGUGGGGAGCAAACAGG
Molecule: ribosomal RNA, 233 nt
Filed under: uncultured bacterium
Lineage: Bacteria
Description: partial 16S ribosomal RNA
Rfam family: Bacterial small subunit ribosomal RNA
Source: RNAcentral